This 248-nucleotide ribosomal RNA is filed under the name uncultured Bacillus sp. Its description in RNAcentral is "partial 16S ribosomal RNA". It matches the Rfam family "Bacterial small subunit ribosomal RNA", at positions 1134 to 1382 of the family's 1533-position model. The record is from RNAcentral. Lineage: Bacteria; Bacillati; Bacillota; Bacilli; Caryophanales; Bacillaceae.
GGCACUCUAGACGAACUGCCGUUGACAAAACGGAGGAAGGUGGGAUGACGUCAAAUCAUCAUGCCCCUUAUGUUCUGGGCUACACACGUGCUACAAUGGCCGGUACAGACGGACGCAAAGCCGCGAGGUGGAGCAAAUCCUAAAAAGCCGGUCUCAGUUCGGAUUGCAGGCUGCAAUUCGCCUGCAUGAAGUCGGAAUCGCUAGUAAUCGCAGGUCAGCAUACUGCGGUGAAUACGUUCCCGGGCCUU